GUUAAAUUCCUCCAUUUCAACCAGGCACACCUCUUUCAUUUUAAGUUCAAAUAAAGUGGCAAUCAUUUCAUGUCAAAGCAACACUUUAUGGUGUCUUCUACUGAAAAAAUCAACAUACCUUACAUGGCAUAUAAGAAAGAACUGGUUCCCUGAACUUCGGAUGUACCAAAACAGGUACUUCAGAUCUGACAAACAGACCAAAUGUACCCUCUUUUUAAAAUUGCUGCAGUUUUUUAAUAUUUAAAAUUAAAAGUCCAAAAGUGUUCUACAAUGAUCACCAGUCCUUCAGCUUUCAUUUGAUGCCAAAAAUACCUAAAUAUCCUACAUAUUUUGAAAGUUACACUCAUGCGUAGGAACUAUUUUGCGUUAAAUAUGUACUACUUUCUGGUAUGUGCUUUCUGGCCGGGCCCGAAUUAGUGGUGUUACACCUUAACCAGUUGAAUGCUGAAAUAGGGACGAAAGAUACCAAAGGGACAGUCAAACUCAUAAAUCUAAAACAAACUGACAACGCCAUGGCUAAAAAUAAAAAAGACAAACAGAAAAACAAUAGUACACACGACACAACAUAGAAAACUAAAGAAUAAACAACACGAACCCCACCAAAAACUAGGGGUGAUCUCAGGUG
This 625-nucleotide long non-coding RNA is filed under the name Mytilus galloprovincialis (Mediterranean mussel). The record is from RNAcentral. Lineage: Eukaryota; Metazoa; Mollusca; Bivalvia; Mytilida; Mytilidae.